UGGGGAAUAUUGGACAAUGGGCGAAAGCCUGAUCCAGCAAUGCCGCGUGAGUGAUGAAGGCCUUAGGGUUGUAAAGCUCUUUUGCCCGGGAUGAUAAUGACAGUACCGGGAGAAUAAGCUCCGGCUAACUCCGUGCCAGCAGCCGCGGUAA
RNAcentral lists this ribosomal RNA (151 nucleotides) under uncultured soil bacterium. RNAcentral describes it as "partial 16S ribosomal RNA". It matches the Rfam family "Bacterial small subunit ribosomal RNA", at positions 355 to 523 of the family's 1533-position model. The record is from RNAcentral.